UUAAAGUAAGGAAUUGAAAGGAUGAGAGUGAUUCUUUCUAUCUAAAUCAAACUAAAGUAAUUAAAAGUAUCAAACUAUAAGUGAUCACUCAAACAAUAGAUCAAUUCCAUUGAAAAUUAUAAAUCUACUAAUAACACAAUGGUUUAACUCCAAAUCAUAAUAAGCUAAGCAGGUAUACCUAUAGGAAAACCAUCAAAACUUGGUUUAACUUACAUCUAAAUCAUGGCACAGAGAAUUA
This 238-nucleotide long non-coding RNA is filed under the name Trifolium pratense (red clover). RNAcentral describes it as "long non-coding RNA (TPRA_LNC007375)". The record is from RNAcentral. Lineage: Eukaryota; Viridiplantae; Streptophyta; Magnoliopsida; Fabales; Fabaceae.